UAGUAACGGCGAGUGAAGCGGGAUGAGCUCAAAUUUAAAAUCUGGCAGUCUUUGGCUGUCCGAGUUGUAUUCUAGAGAAGUGUUUUCCGCGCUGGACCGUGUACAAGUCUCUUGGAACAGAGCGUCAUAGAGGGUGAGAAUCCCGUCUUUGACACGGACUACCAGUGCUUUGUGAUGCGCUCUCAAAGAGUCGAGUUGUUUGGGAAUGCAGCUCAAAAUGGGUGGUAAAUUCCAUCUAAAGCUAAAUAUUGGCGAGAGACCGAUAGCGAACAAGUACCGUGAGGGAAAGAUGAAAAGCACUUUGGAAAGAGAGUUAAACAGUACGUGAAAUUGCUGAAAGGGAAACGCUUGAAGUCAGUCGCGUUAGCUAGAACUCAGCCUUGCUUUUGCUUGGUGCAUUUUCUAGUUGACGGGCCAGCAUCAGUUUUGACUGCGGGAUAAAGGUUAGAGGAAUGUGGCACCUUCGGGUGUGUUAUAGCCUCUGAUUGUAUACCGCGGUUGGGACUGAGGAUCUCAGCACGCCUUUAUGGCCGGGGUUCGCCCACGUUCGUGCUUAGGAUGCUGGCGUAAUGGCUUUAAACGACCCGUCUUGAAACACGGACCAAGGAGUCUAACAUACCUGCGAGUAUUUGGGUGGCAAACCCGAGUGCGUAAUGAAAGUGAUAGUUGGGAUCUCUGUCGUGGAGAGCACCGACGCCCGGACCAGACCUUUUGUGACGGCUCCGCGGUAGAGCAAGUAUGCUGGGACCCGAAAGAUGGUGAACUAUGCCUGAUAGGGUGAAGCCAGAGGAAACUCUGGUGGAGGCUCGUAGCGAUUCUGACGUGCAAAUCGAUCGUC
This 838-nucleotide ribosomal RNA is filed under the name Meruliopsis parvispora. RNAcentral's name for it is "partial 28S ribosomal RNA". It matches the Rfam family "Eukaryotic large subunit ribosomal RNA", at positions 81 to 906 of the family's 3401-position model. Lineage: Eukaryota; Fungi; Basidiomycota; Agaricomycetes; Polyporales; Irpicaceae. The record is from RNAcentral.